RNAcentral lists this small nuclear RNA (103 nucleotides) under Triticum dicoccoides. Lineage: Eukaryota; Viridiplantae; Streptophyta; Magnoliopsida; Poales; Poaceae. The record is from RNAcentral.
GUCCCUUCGGGGACAUCCGAUAAAAUUGGAACGAUACAGAGAAGAUUAACAUGGCCCCUGUGCAAGGAUGACACACACAAAUCGAGAAAUGGUCCAAUUUUUU